CGCAAGCCUUCUUCGUUUACUGGUUCACUGAAGAAGGCAACAUCGCUGGGAUCAGCAUCAUCAACUCUUCCACCAUCUGGAAAGUC
This 86-nucleotide non-coding RNA is filed under the name Skeletonema dohrnii. Lineage: Eukaryota; Bacillariophyta; Thalassiosirophyceae; Thalassiosirales; Thalassiosiraceae. The record is from RNAcentral.